GACGAACCGUGCGAACGUUGUUCGGAAUCACUGGGCUUAAAGGGCGCGUAGGCGGGCUGGCAAGUCAGGGGUGAAAGCCUGCGGCUCAACCGCAGAAGGGCCCCUGAUACUUCCAGCCUCGAGGGAGGUAGGGGCGUGCGGAACUUCCGGUGGAGCGGUGAAAUGCGUAGAUAUCGGAAGGAACACCGGUGGCGAAGGCGGCGCGCUGGACCUCUUCUGACGCUGAGGCGCGAAAGCCAGGGGAGCGAACGGG
Molecule: unclassified non-coding RNA, 253 nt
Filed under: uncultured Planctomycetia bacterium
Lineage: Bacteria; Pseudomonadati; Planctomycetota; Planctomycetia
Description: contains 16S-23S intergenic spacer region
Rfam family: Bacterial small subunit ribosomal RNA
Source: RNAcentral